GUCUCCGUGGCGCAAUGGUAGCGCGUUGGACUUCUACCUUCCCCCGUCACCUCGCUCACGAGCGAGAAGUGAUCUGUGGCAAUCCAAAGGCUGCGGGUUCGAGCCCCGCCGGAGAUG
Molecule: non-coding RNA, 117 nt
Organism: Epicoccum nigrum
Lineage: Eukaryota; Fungi; Ascomycota; Dothideomycetes; Pleosporales; Didymellaceae
Source: the annotation of a GenBank genome assembly